Molecule: ribosomal RNA, 460 nt
Filed under: uncultured bacterium
Lineage: Bacteria
Description: partial 16S ribosomal RNA
Rfam family: Bacterial small subunit ribosomal RNA
Source: RNAcentral
CCUACGGGCGGCAGCAGUGAGGAAUAUUGGUCAAUGGACGCAAGUCUGAACCAGCCAUGCCGCGUGCAGGAUGACGGCUCUAUGAAUUGUAAACUUCUUUUGUAAGAGGAUAAACUCAGAUACGUGAAUCGGGCUGAAGGUACCGUACGAAUAAGGAUCGGCUAACUCCGUGCCAGCAGCCGCGGUAAUACGGAGGAUCCGAGCGUUAUCCGGAUUUAUUGGGUUUAAAGGGUGCGUAGGCGGAAUGUUAAGUUAGAGGUGAAAUGUCGGGGCUCAACCCCGAAACUGCCUCUAAUACUGGUAGACUUGAGAAGAGUAGAGGUAGGCGGAAUGUAUGGUGUAGCGGUGAAAUGCUUAGAGAUCAAGCAGAACACCGAUUGCGAAGGCAGCAUACCAAACUAGAUCUGACGCUGAGGCACGAAAGCGUGGGUAGCAAACAGGAUUAGAUACCCGAGUAGUC